This 532-nucleotide ribosomal RNA is filed under the name uncultured archaeon. Its description in RNAcentral is "bacterial SSU rRNA". It matches the Rfam family "Archaeal small subunit ribosomal RNA", at positions 327 to 859 of the family's 1478-position model. The record is from RNAcentral.
GGGGUGCAGCAGGCGCGAAACCUCCGCAAUGUGGGAAAUCGCGACGGGGGGAUCCCAAGUGCCAUUCUUAACGGGAUGGCUUUUCAUUAGUGUAAAGAGCUUUUGGAAUAAGGGCUGGGCAAGACCGGUGCCAGCCGCCGCGGUAACACCGGCAGCUCUAGUGGUAGCAGUUUUUAUUGGGCCUAAAGCGUCCGUAGCCGGUUUAAUAAGUCUCUGGUGAAAUCCUGUAGCUUAACUGUGGGAAUUGCUGGAGAUACUAUUAGACUUGAGACCGGGAGAGGUUAGAGGUACUCCCAGGGUAGAGGUGAAAUUCUGUAAUCCUGGGAGGACCGCCUGUUGCGAAGGCGUCUAACUGGAACGGUUCUGACGGUGAGGGACGAAAGUUAGGGGCGCGAACCGGAUUAGAUACCCGGGUAGUCCUAACCGUAAACGAUGCGGACUUGGUGUUGGGGUGGCUUUGAGCUGCUCCAGUGCCGAAGGGAAGCUGUUAAGUCCGCCGCCUGGGAAGUACGGUCGCAAGACUGAAACUUAA